GAUGAUUCAUGGUGCACGAAGAUUUUUUGAGCAAGAUACUAAGGUUAAGAAGAAGUGGUAUACAAGGGAUCGUACAAAGAGGGUGGUGUACAACUGCAACUUUGAUCUGUAUAGUCCAACAGCAGCUAACUGGAGGGAUACAACUUAUUCCGUCAUGGCUCCUAAUCCUCCAGCUCCAGAGGAAUUGCCAGAUGUUUGCAGGUAUUUUUGUGGCUGAACUCUUUCUGCUUCAAAUGCAGCUAUUUUGUAUAAAUUAUAAAUUUUUUAGCUGUAGCAAGAAACUUAGUGAAUGAAAAAAAAAAAAAAAACCCAGCCACCCAUUUGGUGAGGGGGGUAUCAGACUUAUUAAUGUUACCUAUUCUUGAUGUACCUAAGUUCUUUGUCCUGCAAAAAUGUCAAUCUUAUUCGACAUUUCAUAAAUUUUUCUGCAGCGAAAUAUUGAUAGACUACUCGAAGCAAGUGAUGAACUUGGGUUGCUUAUUGCUUGAGUUACUGUCAGAGGGUCUUGGACUCGAUCCAAGCUACCUCGAAGGCAUUGAUUGCGGAGAGGGGCUUAGUGUCCUAUGCCAUUACUAUCCGGCAUGCCCCCAACCAGAACUUACCUUUGGCAGCAGCCCGCAUUCAGACAAUGACUUCUUCACAAUCCUUCUCCAAGACAAUUUAGGUGGCCUCCAAGUACUUCAUCAGAAUCAGUGGGUUGAUGUUCCUCCAACACCUGGAGCUUUAGUAACCAACAUUGGAGAUCUUCUACAGGCAAGCCUUUGAUUUAUUGAUUUUCCAACACUUUUGGAAUGCAUAAACAAUCUUUGUUAUCUGGAGAUUUUCUGGAGGUUGUUUUGAAGUAUUUUUGGUUUUGAUUUCAUUUGGCUUAUUAAAUUUCAGAUUAUAUCAAAUGACAAAUACAAAAGCAGUGAACAUAGAGUUCUGGCAAAACGUGUUGGUCCUAGGGUGUCAAUCGCGAGCUUCUUCACACCUGAUGUAAGGGCAACUGGAAAGCUUUAUGGACCUAUCAAGGAGUUGUUAUCAGAAGAAAAUCCGCCAAAGUACCGCGAAACCACAGCAAAGGAAUAUACAGAUUACUUCCGUGCCAAAGGGCUUGAUGGAACUUCUGCUCUGUUGCAUUUCAAGCUCUAAGCUUGCAAACAGAGUAGUAAAGACUAGCCUGUAAAUCUGUAAUAAAAACAACUAUUCAGGAGGCCAUAACUCAUAUUUGGAGUUUAUAUGCUCCUGUUGAAUGUAUUGCAUGCUUUCCAAAAUGUGAAGGAUUCUGUCAAACUACAUUUUGAUUUGUGUAAACCGUGUGCAUUAGUAUCCGGGAGAUGUUUUUGAGCUAAAAAGUCACUGAGCUGAAUUUGAUAUGGCCAGGCAUUAUGGUGUUUAAUGAUUGGCAUAUCAUUUCUCGGAAUUGUCCAUGUCUCAACUGAAACUGUCUCAACUGAAAAAUUUUUCUUUCUCAAAGAAAAACACAGACAUACCAAUAUUGUGUGGCUAAAAUCCUUCAAGAUGGCAUUUACAUUAUGUAUAUGCUGCAUUAGUUGGACAAAUCCUAGAGACGGGAUGAUUAUGACUUUUCAAGUUACUUUCACAUAUUGCUUUCUUAAUCAUCCUGUCUAAACUUCUAACUUUUUUUAAAUCAGAUCCUUACUCUUACCACCAAAAAAAAAAAAAAAAUUAAAGUCUUGUUGCUUUCUGCUUUUAAGCACCUAAAAGUGGAGCUAUUUCAAAAUUUGACCACUUGAAUAAUUGAGUUUAGUUGAUAUAUUUUACUGUAUGUUUUUUUUUUCAACAAACGAUAUAUUUUACUAAAUGUGUGUAUGUAAAUGUGUACUUUUCUGAUGUCUCACAGUCAAUAAUAUCCAUUUCGUAGAAGUAAAGGGGAAAGGAGGGAAAAAAAAGACAAAAUUUGAAAAUUUUUUCUAUUCAAAAUCAUAAAAAUCAUAGCAAAGAUCAUGUCAAAAAAGAUGAUUAGUCCGUUUUACUGAAUCUUGUGAUCAUUAGUAUAGUUUUGUUGCUUUUCUAUGUUAUCUAAUUUAUUGAAUGUGAACUUCUUGAGUGGCAAAAUGUGUGUAUUAAUUAUUUCUAACUUUUAAUUAUUUUUAUUUUUUUACUAAUAUAACUUAUAUAAAUGCAUAAGGGGUAUUUAUGAAAUAAAAGUUUCAUAUCUCUGUUUAAAGUACUUUUUCUAAUUAGACUAAUUUUGUUAUCAAAACAUUAACUUUAGAGGAGGUUUGAGUAAUUUUACAAACUUUAGGGGAGGUUUAAAUAAUUUUACAGACUUUAGGGGAGAAUAGUGAAAUUGUUAGAAAACCUCAGAGGUGGUUUCUGAAAUUAUCCCUAUCUAUUUUGGUUGAACUUGUGGAUGCUAGGUUAACCAAUCAUCAAGCUAAUAUAAUAACAAGUCUCUCUCCUUAUAGUCCUCCACUUGUCCUUUAUGCUGGCAAUUUUCAAACUUUGUAUUUAGUGAUUCUAGGAUGUAUAUGCACUUAUUAUAUUAUGAAUCAAACUAUUUUAAGAUGUACAUACGUUGUGAUAAAUAUAUAUUCAUUCAUGAAUUUUAAAGUAGCAUGAAUAUAUUUAUGUAUGUGAAGAUCAUUAAAUGUAAGGAUAAAUUCAUAUGUUUUAUUAUAGAAACAUGUGAUGCAUGAAUUAAAGUACAUGAAUUUGUAUACAAUAUCUUGAAUCUAUUCAUACAAGUAUUUAUUAAAUUUAUUUAUUUCUUAAACAAUCUCUUCUAUAUAAAGAAAUCAAGUAGAGAGUGAUUUGCUGCAAAAAAUUAUUUUCCUACCACUAUGAAUUCUUUGAAAAGCACUUCUUAGUUCAAGAAAGUUUGUCUUAUUUUGUGCAAGAGUUUAAGACAAAUAAAGUUUAUCUUAUCCUAAAAAAUAUUUAUCAAGAUUUAUUGCACGUUAUAUCGAACAAAUAAAACUUAAAGAAAAGUGAUAUAUAAUCACGAUUUGAAGCCAAUUAUUAUUACUAUAUUUGCCAGUUCAUUGUAAUACUCCCAACACUUUAUUGCGAGCUUCUGAAAGUUUGAGAUACUCCAGCUACCUAGAACAGUUAGAAUAGAAAUAUGGUGGCUACCAGUAAAGGUGAAGUUGAUCAGGUUGCAGAAGUAGAACCACAUUAUGAUCGACAGAGUGAACUACAAGCAUUUGAUGAAACCAAGGCUGGUGUUAAAGGGCUUGUUGAUGCUGGCAUUACCAAGGUGCCUCGGAUAUUCAUUCAACCGCAAUGUAGCUUAGAUGACGGUCUCAAUGGCACCAAAGGAAUCUUCAAAUUUCCUGUCAUCGAUCUGGAUGGUAUUGAUACAGAUCCAGCCAGGCGCAAAGAGAUAGUUGACAAGGUUAGAGAUGCAUCAGAAACAUGGGGUUUCUUUAACGUGGUAAAUCAUGGAAUUCCUUUCAGUGUCCUGGAGGAGAUGAUUCAAGGCGCGCGUAGAUUUUUCGAGCAAGAUACUGAGGUUAAGAAACAGUGGUAUACAAGGGAUUAUACAAAAACAGUGGUGUACAACUGCAACUUUGAUUUACACAUUUCACCAGUAGCCAACUGGAGGGAUACAUGUUAUUGCUACAUGGCUCCUAAUCCUCCAGCUCCAGAAGAAUUGCCUGAUGCUUGCAGGUAGAUUUCUCAGGGAUCUUCUUUUCUUUGCCUUGUAUGACAAGUGUGGUCUGAAAAUUACUAGAAUAAGGGCCAGUGGCCACUAUUCUGGUGAUUAGAUGGUAGUAUUAAUUGACAAUGAAUCUUUAAGACAUAUCUAAUUUCUAGUUAUGAAGUGGAAAAAGAUUGAGCUGCUGGAAGUUAUAGUUAACUUAAAUCAACUCUUGUUCCUGUUAAACUAUAUCUGAUUACUCAUUUGAUGAAUUCGACUACAGUGAAAUCGUGAUAGAAUACUCAAAGCUAGUGAUGAAGUUAGGCUGCUUAUUGCUCGAAUUUCUGUCAGAGGGCCUUGGACUCAAUCUAAGCUACCUCAAAGACAUUGAUUGUGCAGAGGGGCUUGCUGUACUAUGCCAUUACUAUCCACCGUGUCCACAGCCAGAACUUACCUUAGGCACCAGCAAGCAUUCUGACAACGGCUUCAUCACAGUCCUCCUCCCAAGGCAAUUUAGGUGGAGUUCAAGUACUUCAUCAAAAUCAGUGGAUUGAUGUUCCUUCUACACCUGGAGCUUUAGUGAUCAACAUCGGAAAUCUUUUGCAGGCGAGCCUGUGAUUUAUUGAUUUCCUGUUUUGUACUGCUAUAUUCUUGAAAUAAGGUUGUAACAAACAAGUGCAUUAUGAUGUGGCCAGUUAUGACAUCAUUUCCAUUGUUUCGGUUGGUAAAUUUUUAGUCUUUGGUUGUGAAUUAUAUACUCAUAUCUAAUGACAAGUAAACCUAGAAUUUUGGCUAACAGAGUCAGUCCUAGAGUAUCAGUAGCAAGCUUUUUAGCUACCGGUCCAAGGCCAAUAACAAAGGUUUAUGGACCUAUCAAGGAGUUGUUAUCAGAUGACAAUCCACCUAAAUAUCGAGCAACAACAGUGAAGGAAUAUACAGAUUACUUCCGUGCCAAAGGGCUUGAUGGCACUAAUGCCCUUCUGCAUUUCAAGCUUUAAACAUGUGAACAAAACAACAAAGAUUAGCCCGUGAAUUUCUAAAGAAUGAGAUUAUGUCUAUAAUAAAGAUUGUCACUUCACAGAAACUGCCCACUUUGUGUGCUCUAGUAACUGGCAAAAUAAAUUGCUGUUUGAGUCAAAUAAAAAAGUUUCUAGUUUCCAAGAGUUUUUUGGAGUUUAUAUCAAGUUCAUAGUAUUGAGUUUCUUUCUCUCAACCGUACUUGUACUUGUCUGUUACCCUAUCCAGACACAUUUAAAAAAAAAAAAAAAAUUUACAGCAGGCUGGGAUUUAAGAAGCGGGGAGAGGAGCAGAGGAUUUGAACCCAGGAUUCUUUUUUCUAUUAAACCAUAGACAUCGUGAUCCUUAAAUCCGCAUCUGCUUUUUGACAUAUAAAUUGCAUUUUGUGUGCGCGGGGGGAUGCAUUGCUUUCAGGCCAUAUCAAUGACGAGUUUUCACUGUAGAGCAUAGUGUAAUGGCAAAUAACAUUGGUCGAAGAAUAUCAGCGGCAUGCUUUUUCUUUAACAUUGAUAUAUGGCCUUUUGCAAUAUUACAUGGACCGAUUGAGGACUUACUAACAGAAGAGAAUCCAAGAAAGCACAGGGCAACUACCAUGAAAGAUUAUGUGAUUUACUUCAACAACAAGAGACUUGAUGGAACUUCUGCGCUGUCGCAUUUCAGGCUUUAGACUAGAAAAAGGAUUCAGUAAUUAGUAAAUUAUAUGCAGCGUUUAUGUGCGCAAGAUUGUUAAAACUCUUUAGGCUUCUUUUUCAUCCUGAAAUAGUAAAUUUUGAAUGGGCAUGACCUUAUCAAAUUCGUUUCAGACAUCACUUUCCCUCCUCUCUUCAGAUUUUCUUGGUAUGCAGACUUCCUUUGGCUUUAUUUCACUUUGAUGUAUAAUAAAUUACUCUAUUCUAUCUAACUUGUAGCAGCUAUACAAUCUCUUCACGGCAACAUGCUAAAUCUCGGAAACAGCAUAAAAGAUUGUUUACUUGUGCAUUUUUACCUGCUCCCAUUAUUAAAUUUGUAGCUACUGCUACUUUAUGUGCAUGAUCUUUUCUCAUGAUCACGACAAAAGCCAAUAACUUCAAUGACGUGGUAGCCCCCAUUAGGCACAAAUAUGAGCCUGAGAAACUGAAACCUUGUUAAAAGUUGAAGAAACUUCCCAAAGCAAAGAAAAAUGGGGGCAACCAGCAAAGAUGAAGUUGCAGUUGAUGGUGCAGUGGAAUCUCAAUAUGAUCAAGAGAAGGAAAUACGAGCAUUUGAUGAAACCAAGGCCGGGGUUAAAGGGCUUGUUGAUGCCGGCAUUAACAAGUUGCCUCGAAUGUUCAUUCAUCGGGAAAGUGGCUCGGAGAAGAGUAUCAGUGCCUGGAAAGGAACUUUUAGCAUUUCAGUGAUUGAUCUGGAAGGUAUGGAUAAGGAUCCAGUAAGGCGCAAAGAGAUAGUUGACAAGGUUAGAGAUGCAUCUGAAAGAGGGGGUUUUUUCCAGGUGGUAAAUCAUGGAAUUCAAGUCAGUGUUCUGGAGGAGAUGAUACAAGGUGCACGAAGAUUUUUCGAGCAAGAUACUGAGGUUAAGAAGAAGUGGUAUACAAGGGAUCGUACAAAAAGGGUGGUGUACAACUGCAACUUUGAUCUGUAUAGUCCAACAGCAGCUAACUGGAGGGAUACAGCUUAUUGCUUCAUGGCUCCUAAUCCACCAGCUCCAGAGGAAUUGCCAGACGUUUGCAGGUAUUUUUUUGGCUGAACUCUUUUUUUUUUUCUUCAAAUGCAAAUAUUUUGUAUAAAUUAUAAAUUUUUUAGCUGUAACAAGAAACUUACCUAUUCUUGAUAUUUGGAAGAGCUUUAGUGAAAAUGAAUCCUUUGGUUUGAUUUACCAAAUCCAUGGGUUUAGUCAUUGGCACAAAAUUGAGCAUCUUAACUUUUUUUUUUUAACACCACCAUAAUGAUAAGUAGAAGGAAGAACAGUGGACUUUCUCUCGCAAUUGCAGUGAAUGCCAUUCAUAUCCAAGAUUUAGUCACAUCAGCUCAGUCCGAUUUGGGCUAAUCAUUUCAUUUUUUUUUUGAUUUAGAAAUAAAUGACGUAGAUGGGACCGAGCUUAUGUAGUGCGAUUGCACCUGCAAAAUUUGCCACCCCCUCCACCUAGGCUGCUGGUUUUAGGGAGUCCAAUAGUUGUAGCAGAGUAUUAACCACUAGGCUAUACUGCUUGUAGGUAAUUGCUUGUAUCCUAAUCACCUAGUUGAUAGCUGGUAUUAAAAGAUCUUUGAUUCUUUCUAUGGUUUUAAAUUUUGUGAUAAUGUCAAAAACGAAUUCUAAGGUAAUAAAUUCUAAUGUACCUACUAGUAAAUCUUAUUCGACAUUUCAUAAAUUUUUCUGCAGCAAAAUAUUGUUAGAGUACUCGAAGCAAGUGAUGAAUUUAGGUUGCUUAUUGCUUGAAUUGCUGUCAGAGGGUCUUGGACUCGAUCCAAGCUACCUAGAAGGCAUUGAUUGUGGAAAGGGGCUUGCUGUCCUAUGCCAUUACUAUCCGGCAUGCCCCCAACCAGAACUUACCUUUGGCACCAGCCCGCAUUCAGACAAUGACUCCUUCACAAUCCUUCUCCAAGACAAUUUAGGUGGCCUCCAGGUACUUCAUCAGAAUCAGUGGGUUGAUGUUCCUCCAACACCUGGAGCUUUAGUAAUCAACAUUGGAGAUCUUCUACAGGCAAGCCUUUGAUUUAUUGAUUUUCCAACACUUUUGGAAUGCAUAAACAAUCUUUGUUAUCUGGAG
RNAcentral lists this long non-coding RNA (7350 nucleotides) under Coffea arabica (coffee). RNAcentral's name for it is "long non-coding RNA (CARA_LNC002099)". Lineage: Eukaryota; Viridiplantae; Streptophyta; Magnoliopsida; Gentianales; Rubiaceae. The record is from RNAcentral.